RNAcentral lists this long non-coding RNA (557 nucleotides) under Olea europaea (common olive). RNAcentral's name for it is "long non-coding RNA (OEUR_LNC014700)". The record is from RNAcentral. Lineage: Eukaryota; Viridiplantae; Streptophyta; Magnoliopsida; Lamiales; Oleaceae.
UUUUGUUGAAUUCAUGCAAUGUAGGUGAUUCUAUGGAAAUAGUGGAAUUCAGGAGAAAAGAGCCGAAAAAGGACCAAAUUGGAGCAAAAUGAAAAUUCAGGGACCAAAUUGCAAUUAUCUGAAAGUUGAUCCGAUGAACACAUCAAGCAAUUGAUCAAGCUAAGCACCAAUUGGAAGUUAUAAUGGAACAUUGGAGCAACUAGAAACAAGAGAGGAGGUCAAGGAGUGAAGGAAUGAAACUUGAGGAUCAAAAUGACUCAAUUUAGAAGUUCACUCUACUAUGCGGUCGCAUAGUAGAAAACCUAUGCGAUCGCGAGUAACCCUCCAGGGAUUAAAAACGCCAAAAUCCAUAUACCUAUGCGGUCGCAUAGGUUAUGCCUAUGCGAUCGCAUAGGUAUAAUCUGUGCCCGAUUUUUGCAGUUUCCUUAUAUGAUUGCAACUCCUUUGGUAACUUAAUUUCGACGUGUUUAAAUAGCAAAAAAUGUCCAGAAGCCGGAAGGAACGAAUUGCGAGGUAAAAACAUUCAUUUUGGAGAGGAUUUGAAGGCAAGAACAAGG